Molecule: non-coding RNA, 728 nt
Organism: Phoenix dactylifera (date palm)
Lineage: Eukaryota; Viridiplantae; Streptophyta; Magnoliopsida; Arecales; Arecaceae
Source: RefSeq, a predicted model, not a curated record
AUCUCAAAUAAUGAGACUUUAGAGCAUCAUGAAAUACGAAAAUACAUGCUCUUCUGAGAAGCAUUAUCUUCAUUCCAGACAACAUAUUCGGACAUUUAAACAUAUCAACAACUUGCAAGGAUAAGAAAUCAAACAGUAGGGAUUGUAGGUGAAGAGCCCUCUCUUUCACCCCUUUCACCGACACUGUUAUCUGCAAACUUUAAGCUUGCUGAGUGUUCAAUCGGUAUUCUAAUAGAAUGGACAAAAGUUGGAUAAAUAAGUUAAGAUCUAGUGCUGAAUAUUUGGAUGGAGUUCGGAAUUUCAUUAAGUUUGCCUUUGAGAAAUCUAAUAUGAACGGAAAGAUUUUAUGUCCAUGUCAAAAAUGUGUAAACGGUUCUGCUCUUGAUCCAAAAAUUGUUGAAGAACAUUUGGUAUGGAAUGGUUUUCUAAAGGGUUAUACUGAAUGGGUACUCCAUGGAGAGUUCAUACCUUCAUGUAACCAACCCUCCGAUCUAGAAGACACCUUCAAUUUUGGAUGUAGUGACACGGAACAAAAUUCUGUAGAAAAAGAUGAUAUAAGGGGCCUACUUAGAGAUGCUCUUGGACAUAAUAUCAGAACUGUAGGAGAAGAUGAGCGUGCAGUUAUUGAUCAGUCCAUGCAUGUUGAGGAAUCUAUACAUGCUGAUGACACAGCUCAUUAUGAUAACUUGGUGAAAGAUUGUGAUCAAGAACUGUAUCCGGGUUGUAAG